GGCGCAGCGUACACAUGAGAUGUCAUACGGCCAGGGCCGAUGCCGUAUUCGCUCCGGCGAACUGAACCUUGCUGAGAAGCGGGAGGACGUUGGCUGUAGCGAGACCUUGACCGCAGGAUAGUGGCGAGGGUGAAAGGAGGCGAAACCUGAGCAGCGACAACAAAUCAUUGAGUAAGCGGCGGCGAUUGCGGCGACCUUGAGAACGGGAAGAGUUCCUGGCCACUGUCGAAGGCAACUCUAAGUGAGGAGGCACCGACGCGUGUCAGACGCGGCGCAUCCAGCAUGGACGCCGUAGACCCGGGGCAGGCCCGGACCACAAUUUGGUGGGCCGCCUGACCUUCCCUGCACUGACACAGCCGUAGCCCCUCACCACAUCGUGGUACCGCAGGUGCCACAGCCACUUGGCUGCGCUGGUGACAUGAGUGGGGUGAGCGCGUGACUUAUAUAAGGACAGAGGUGGCACAUACGGACUCAUUCGUCGCCGGAACAAGAUUUCUUUCCGCUUCACAGGAUCCCAUCAAAAGCAAGCAUGCUGAGGAACGUUCUCAUAGCCGCCCUGCUGUUGGCAGCUGUCUUCUGCAUUGCCUCAGCUCAGUUCGGAUAUGGCCGUGGUUUCGGAUAUGGCCGCGGCUUCGGCUACGGACGUGGUUUCGGCUAUGGUCGUGGUUUCUAUGGAGGGUACGGCCGCGGCUACUACGGAGGUUUCGGACGCGGCUUCGGCUACGGAAGAGGAUUCUACGGCUGAACUACAGAACCGCUUUCAAGAGUGAAAACCACAAAGCCCAUGUCCAUAGAAGCACUAUUUCAAGCCUACUAUUUUUCGAGUUUGUAAUAAAGUGAGUGAUAUUACCCUAGAA
This is a long non-coding RNA of Dermacentor albipictus, 857 nucleotides long. RefSeq lists it as uncharacterized. The record is from RefSeq and is a predicted model, not a curated record. NCBI's taxonomy places the organism in Eukaryota, Metazoa, Arthropoda, Arachnida, Ixodida, Ixodidae.